UUGAACGCUGGCGGCAUGCCUAGCACAUGCAAGUCGAACGGUAACGCGGAGAGCUUGCUCUCUGGCGACGAGUGGCGGACGGGUGAGUAAUACUUAGGAAUCUACCCAGUAGUGGGGGACAACAUUCGGAAACGGAUGCUAAUACCGCAUACGCACUACGGUGGAAAGUGGGGGACCUUCGGGCCUCACGCUAUUGGAUGAGCCUAAGUCGGAUUAGCUUGUUGGUGAGGUAAUAGCUCACCAAGGCGACGAUCCGUAGCUGGUCUGAGAGGACGAUCAGCCACACUGGGACUGAGACACGGCCCAGACUCCUACGGGAGGCAGCAGUGGGGAAUAUUGGACAAUGGGCGCAAGCCUGAUCCAGCAAUGCCGCGUGUGUGAAGAAGGCCUGCGGGUUGUAAAGCACUUUCAGUAGAGAAGAAAAGCCUAGGGUUAAUACCCCUGAGUCUUGACGUAACCUACAGAAGAAGCACCGGCUAACUCCGUG
RNAcentral lists this ribosomal RNA (487 nucleotides) under uncultured bacterium. RNAcentral describes it as "bacterial SSU rRNA". It matches the Rfam family "Bacterial small subunit ribosomal RNA", at positions 30 to 507 of the family's 1533-position model. The record is from RNAcentral.